Molecule: ribosomal RNA, 253 nt
Filed under: uncultured bacterium
Lineage: Bacteria
Description: partial 16S ribosomal RNA
Rfam family: Bacterial small subunit ribosomal RNA
Source: RNAcentral
GACGAACCGUGCGAACGUUGUUCGGAAUCACUGGGCUUAAAGGGCACGUAGGCGGGCUCACAAGUCGGGGGUGAAAUCCUGCAGCUUAACUGCAGAAGUGCCUUCGAUACUGUCGGUCUUGAGGGAGAUAGGGGUGUGCGGAACUUCCAGUGGAGCGGUGAAAUGCGUUGAUAUUGGAAGGAACGCCGGAGGCGAAAGCGGCGCACUGGAUCUCUACUGACGCUGAGGCGCGAAAGCCAGGGGAGCAAACGGG